AGAGUUUGAUCCUGGCUCAGGGUUAACGCUGGCGGUGUGCCUAAGACAUGCAAGUCGGACGGGACUUAUUGUCUACACUAAGGGAACCAAAAAGUUUUUUUAGUGUAGAUAAUAAGCCUAGUGGCGAACGAGUGAGUAAUAGAUACGAACAUACUCCGAAGUGGGACAUAGCCUUGCGAAAGCAGGAGUAAUUUCCCAUGUUUUCCGAUUUAUCGGAACAAAGACGCAAGUCGCUUUGGAAAUGGCGUAUCCGCUAUCAGCUUGUUGGUAAGGUAAUGGCUUACCAAGGCUAUGACGGCUACCGGCUCUCAGUGGAGGGUCCGGCACGAUGGGACUGAGACACGGCCCAUACACCUACGGGUGGCAGCAGUUAGGAAUAUUGCGCAAUGGACGAAAGUCUGACGCAGCGACACCGCGUGCGGGAUGACAGCCUUCGGGUUGUAAACCGCUUUUCUUUUAUCAUCAAGUUAUUAGGAAUAAGCAACUACUAACUACGUGCCAGCAGUCGCGGUAAUACGUAGGUUGCAAGCGUUACCCGGUUUUAUUGGGCGUAAAGGGUCUGUAGGCGGUUUUUUCAAGUCCUAUUUCAAAGACCUCGGCUUAACUGAGGGAAGGGACAGGAUACUGAAAGACUCGAGUGGUAUCGAGGCUACUGGAAUUUAUAGUGUAGGGGUAAAAUCCAUGGAUACUAUAAAGAACACCAAGGGCGAAGGCUGGUAGCCAGAUACAUACUGACGCUGAGAGACGAAAGCUAGGGUAGCAAAUCAGAUUAGAGACCGGAGUAGUCCUAGCCGUAAACGAUGUCUGCUAAUCCCGCGAUUUUUUGUGGGAUGCAAGCUAACGCGUUAAGCAGACCGCCUGGGGGAGUACAGCCGCAAGGCCGAAACUCAAACGAAUUGGCGGGGAGGCGCACAACCAGUGGAGCAUGUGGUUCAAUUCGAUACGAAGCGAUAAACCUCACCUGGAAUUGACAUGUACCUGCGCUCCGAUAGAAAUAUUGGAGGCCUUCGAGGGUGGUACACAGCUGUUGCAUGGCUGUCUUCAGCUCGUGACGUGAGUUGUUCUCUUAAGUGAGGUAACGAGCGCAACCCCUAUUCCGUGUUACUAUGUCACGGAAGACUGCUCAGCAUUAUUUUUGUUGGGAGGAAGGAGGGGACGACGUCAAGUCAGCAUGAUGCUUAUGUCCAGGGCUACACACAUCCUACAAUGACAUUUACAACGAGUUGCAAAACCGCGAGGUUAAGCUAAUCUCUUAAAACUUGUCUCAGUGGGGAUUGCAGUCUGAAAUUCGACUGCAUGAACUUGGAAUUGGUAGUAAUCGCGGAUCAGCAGGCCGCGGUGAAUACGUUCUCGCCUCUUGCACACACUGCCCGUCAAAUCAGCAAAGUUGAGGGUACCCGAAAUUUUUCCCUGUUUACAGGGAAGGCCUAAGGUAAAUUCAGCGAUGAGGGUUAAGUCGUAACAAGGUAAGC
This 1472-nucleotide ribosomal RNA is filed under the name uncultured bacterium. RNAcentral's name for it is "bacterial SSU rRNA". It matches the Rfam family "Bacterial small subunit ribosomal RNA". The record is from RNAcentral.